CCAUGGCUCAGUUGGUAGAGCGACGCAUUCGUAAUGCGUAGGUCGCCGGUUCAAGUCCGGCU
This 62-nucleotide transfer RNA is filed under the name uncultured Anaerobutyricum sp. It matches the Rfam family "tRNA", at positions 7 to 64 of the family's 71-position model. Rfam says of the family: Transfer RNA (tRNA) molecules are approximately 80 nucleotides in length. The record is from RNAcentral. Lineage: Bacteria; Bacillati; Bacillota; Clostridia; Lachnospirales; Lachnospiraceae.